UACGGAGGAUGCGAGCGUUAUCCGGAUUUAUUGGGUUUAAAGGGUGCGUAGGUGGUUUGUUAAGUCAGUGGUGAAAGUAUGCGGCUCAACCGUAUUAAGCCAUUGAAACUGGCGGACUUGAGUGCAAACGAGGUAGGCGGAAUGUGAUGUGUAGCGGUGAAAUGCUUAGAUAUGUCACAGAACCCCGAUUGCGAAGGCAGCUUACCAGCAUGCGACUGACACUGAGGCACGAAAGCGUGGGUAUC
RNAcentral lists this ribosomal RNA (245 nucleotides) under uncultured Bacteroidales bacterium. RNAcentral describes it as "partial 16S ribosomal RNA". It matches the Rfam family "Bacterial small subunit ribosomal RNA", at positions 524 to 769 of the family's 1533-position model. The record is from RNAcentral. Lineage: Bacteria; Pseudomonadati; Bacteroidota; Bacteroidia; Bacteroidales.